AACUUUUUCCCCUAGGCCUGCUGACGUAGCCUACAGAGAAGUCUGCAUGGUACGAAGGGAGGAAAAGUU
Molecule: regulatory RNA element, 69 nt
Organism: Astyanax mexicanus (Mexican tetra)
Lineage: Eukaryota; Metazoa; Chordata; Actinopteri; Characiformes; Acestrorhamphidae
Rfam family: MAT2A 3'UTR stem loop A
Source: Rfam